Molecule: ribosomal RNA, 455 nt
Filed under: uncultured organism
Description: bacterial SSU rRNA
Rfam family: Bacterial small subunit ribosomal RNA
Source: RNAcentral
GUGCAGCAGGCGAGAAUUUUUCUCAAUGGGGGCAACCCUGAAGGAGCGACGCCGCGUGGAGGAUGAAGGCUUUCGGGUCGUAAACUCCUGUCAUUUGAGAACAAGUGGCCGAACAUAACUACUUCGGCCUUGAUAGUAUCAGAAGAGGAAGGGACGGCUAACUCUGUGCCAGCAGCCGCGGUAAUACAGAGGUCCCAAGCGUUGUUCGGAUUCAUUGGGCGUAAAGGGUGCGUAGGUGGCGCCGUCAGUGGGGUGUGAAAUUCCGGAGCUUAACUCCGAAACUGCAUUCCAUACUGCGGUGCUUGAGGACUGGAGAGGAGACUGGAAUUUACGGUGUAGCAGUGAAAUGCGUAGAGAUCGUAAGGAAGACCAGUGGCGAAGGCGGGUCUCUGGACAGUUCCUGACACUGAGGCACGAAGGCUAGGGGAGCGAACGGGAUUAGAUACCCCGGUAGU